RNAcentral lists this ribosomal RNA (490 nucleotides) under uncultured bacterium. RNAcentral's name for it is "bacterial SSU rRNA". It matches the Rfam family "Bacterial small subunit ribosomal RNA", at positions 28 to 528 of the family's 1533-position model. The record is from RNAcentral.
GACGAACGCUGGCGGCGUGCUUAACACAUGCAAGUCGAACGGACGAGUGAGAUAAGUUUACUUAACUCACAAGUUAGUGGCGGACGGGUGAGUAACACGUGGAUAAUCUACCUGCAACACCGGGAUAACGCUGUGAAAACGGUGCUAAUACCGGAUACGUUCCCUUGUGCGCAUGUAUGAGGGAAGAAAGCUCAGGCGGUUGCAGAUGAGUCCGCGGCUGAUUAGCUAGUUGGUGAGGUAAAGGCUCACCAAGGCGAUGAUCAGUAGCCGGCCUGAGAGGGUGAACGGCCACACUGGGACUGAGACACGGCCCAGACUCCUACGGGAGGCAGCAGUGGGGAAUCUUCCGCAAUGGGCGCAAGCCUGACGGAGCAACGCCGCGUGGGUGAAGAAGGCCUUCGGUUGUAAGCCUGUCUAUGGAGAAGUCAGUGACGGUACCAUAGGAGGAAGGACCACGGCUAACUACGUGCCAGCAGCCGCGGUAAUGAGU